GUCGUCAGUCAACUGUUCGCGUUGUGUGAGUGAGGAAGUGUGUAGCUGCGCUCGCUCGGAAAAAUAAUUAUCCUCAUUAAUGGAAUUCUAAAACUUGACUGAAGGAUAAUGGUGUACAGAGGAGAGAAGUGAAGCGUAGUGCUAAGUCCGGCUACAUUCUACAUCGGCUGAUACGUCGCCAAG
Penaeus vannamei (Pacific white shrimp) is the source of this 183-nucleotide non-coding RNA. NCBI's taxonomy places the organism in Eukaryota, Metazoa, Arthropoda, Malacostraca, Decapoda, Penaeidae. The record is from RefSeq and is a predicted model, not a curated record.